AACGAACGCUGGCGGCAGGCUUAACACAUGCAAGUCGAGCGCCCCGCAAGGGGAGCGGCAGACGGGUGAGUAACGCGUGGGAACGUACCUUUUGGUUCGGAACAACUCCGGGAAACUGGAGCUAAUACCGGAUAAGCCCUAACGGGGAAAGAUUUAUCGCCGAAAGAUCGGCCCGCGCCUGAUUAGCUAGUUGGUGAGGUAACGGCUCACCAAGGCGACGAUCAGUAGCUGGUCUGAGAGGAUGAUCAGCCACACUGGGACUGGGACACGGCCCAGACUCCUACGGGAGGCAGCAGUGGGGAAUAUUGGACAAUGGGCGCAAGCCUGAUCCAGCCAUGCCGCGUGAGUGAUGAAGGCCUUAGGGUUGUAAAGCUCUUUUGUCCGGGAAGAUAAUGACUGUACCGGAAGAAUAAGCCCCGGCUAACUUCGUG
RNAcentral lists this ribosomal RNA (431 nucleotides) under uncultured bacterium. RNAcentral's name for it is "partial 16S ribosomal RNA". It matches the Rfam family "Bacterial small subunit ribosomal RNA", at positions 29 to 507 of the family's 1533-position model. The record is from RNAcentral.